CAGUCUUCGGUGGACAAAGACUUAAGGUUCAUUUGGUGCCCUCAUGGUUUUUUUGAGAAAUUAAUAGUUUUUGAGAUAUCUUCGAAAUUUGGCCCCGACGGUUGCAAAAAAGUUUGUUGCCUAAGAAAAUAGGUUGUAACUUUUUUGUUGUUAUAGUUAGGAAAAUGAUUUAAACGAUUUUCGGUAGACAAAGACUCAUGGUUCAUUUAGGCUCUCUAUGAUUUUUUUGAGAAAUUAGUACUUUUGUGAGAUAUCCUAGAAAUUUGACUCCGACGGUUGCAAAAAAGUUUGUUCCCUAAGAAAAUCUGUUGUUACUUUUUUACUUUUAUAAUUAGGAAAAUGAUUUUAACAGUCUUCGGUGGACAAAGACUUAAGGUUUAUUUGGUGCCUUCAUGGUUUUUUUGAGAAAUUAAUAGUUUUUGAGAUAUCUUCGAAAUUUGGCCCCGACGGUUGCAAAAAAGUUUGUUGCCUAAGAAAAUAGGUUGUAACUUUUUUGUUGUUAUAGUUAGGAAAAUGAUUUAAACGAUUUUCGGUAGACAAAGACUCAUGGUUCAUUUAGGCUCUCUAUGAUUUUUUUGAGAAAUUAGUACUUUUGUGAGAUAUCCUAGAAAUUUGACUCCGACGGUUGCAAAAAAGUUUGUUCCCUAAGAAAAUCUGUUGUUACUUUUUUACUUUUAUAAUUAGGAAAAUGAUUUUAACAGUCUUCGGUGGACAAAGACUUAAGGUUUAUUUGGUGCCUUCAUGGUUUUUUUGAGAAAUUAAUAGUUUUUGAGAUAUCUUCGAAAUUUGGCCCCGACGGUUGCAAAAAAGUUUGUUGCCUAAGAAAAUAGGUUGUAACUUUUUUGUUGUUAUAGUUAGGAAAAUGAUUUAAACGAUUUUCGGUAGACAAAGACUCAUGGUUCAUUUAGGCUCUCUAUGAUUUUUUUGAGAAAUUAGUACUUUUGUGAGAUAUCCUAGAAAUUUGACUCCGACGGUUGCAAAAAAGUUUGUUCCCUAAGAAAAUCUGUUGUUACUUUUUUACUUUUAUAAUUAGGAAAAUGAUUUUAACAGUCUUCGGUGGACAAAGACUUAAGGUUUAUUUGGUGCCUUCAUGGUUUUUUUGAGAAAUUAAUAGUUUUUGAGAUAUCUUCGAAAUUUGGCCCCGACGGUUGCAAAAAAGUUUGUUGCCUAAGAAAAUAGGUUGUAACUUUUUUGUUGUUAUAGUUAGGAAAAUGAUUUAAACGAUUUUCGGUAGACAAAGACUCAUGGUUCAUUUAGGCUCUCUAUGAUUUUUUUGAGAAAUUAGUACUUUUGUGAGAUAUCCUAGAAAUUUGACUCCGACGGUUGCAAAAAAGUUUGUUCCCUAAGAAAAUCUGUUGUUACUUUUUUACUUUUAUAAUUAGGAAAAUGAUUUUAACAGUCUUCGGUGGACAAAGACUUAAGGUUUAUUUGGUGCCUUCAUGGUUUUUUUGAGAAAUUAAUAGUUUUUGAGAUAUCUUCGAAAUUUGGCCCCGACGGUUGCAAAAAAGUUUGUUGCCUAAGAAAAUAGGUUGUAACUUUUUUGUUGUUAUAGUUAGGAAAAUGAUUUAAACGAUUUUCGGUAGACAAAGACUCAUGGUUCAUUUAGGCUCUCUAUGAUUUUUUUGAGAAAUUAGUACUUUUGUGAGAUAUCCUAGAAAUUUGACUCCGACGGUUGCAAAAAAGUUUGUUCCCUAAGAAAAUCUGUUGUUACUUUUUUACUUUUAUAAUUAGGAAAAUGAUUUUAACAGUCUUCGGUGGACAAAGACUUAAGGUUUAUUUGGUGCCUUCAUGGUUUUUUUGAGAAAUUAAUAGUUUUUGAGAUAUCUUCGAAAUUUGGCCCCGACGGUUGCAAAAAAGUUUGUUGCCUAAGAAAAUAGGUUGUAACUUUUUUGUUGUUAUAGUUAGGAAAAUGAUUUAAACGAUUUUCGGUAGACAAAGACUCAUGGUUCAUUUAGGCUCUCUAUGAUUUUUUUGAGAAAUUAGUACUUUUGUGAGAUAUCCUAGAAAUUUGACUCCGACGGUUGCAAAAAAGUUUGUUCCCUAAGAAAAUCUGUUGUUACUUUUUUACUUUUAUAAUUAGGAAAAUGAUUUUAACAGUCUUCGGUGGACAAAGACUUAAGGUUUAUUUGGUGCCUUCAUGGUUUUUUUGAGAAAUUAAUAGUUUUUGAGAUAUCUUCGAAAUUUGGCCCCGACGGUUGCAAAAAAGUUUGUUGCCUAAGAAAAUAGGUUGUAACUUUUUUGUUGUUAUAGUUAGGAAAAUGAUUUAAACGAUUUUCGGUAGACAAAGACUCAUGGUUCAUUUAGGCUCUCUAUGAUUUUUUUGAGAAAUUAGUACUUUUGUGAGAUAUCCUAGAAAUUUGACUCCGACGGUUGCAAAAAAGUUUGUUCCCUAAGAAAAUCUGUUGUUACUUUUUUACUUUUAUAAUUAGGAAAAUGAUUUUAACAGUCUUCGGUGGACAAAGACUUAAGGUUUAUUUGGUGCCUUCAUGGUUUUUUUGAGAAAUUAAUAGUUUUUGAGAUAUCUUCGAAAUUUGGCCCCGACGGUUGCAAAAAAGUUUGUUGCCUAAGAAAAUAGGUUGUAACUUUUUUGUUGUUAUAGUUAGGAAAAUGAUUUAAACGAUUUUCGGUAGACAAAGACUCAUGGUUCAUUUAGGCUCUCUAUGAUUUUUUUGAGAAAUUAGUACUUUUGUGAGAUAUCCUAGAAAUUUGACUCCGACGGUUGCAAAAAAGUUUGUUCCCUAAGAAAAUCUGUUGUUACUUUUUUACUUUUAUAAUUAGGAAAAUGAUUUUAACAGUCUUCGGUGGACAAAGACUUAAGGUUUAUUUGGUGCCUUCAUGGUUUUUUUGAGAAAUUAAUAGUUUUUGAGAUAUCUUCGAAAUUUGGCCCCGACGGUUGCAAAAAAGUUUGUUGCCUAAGAAAAUAGGUUGUAACUUUUUUGUUGUUAUAGUUAGGAAAAUGAUUUAAACGAUUUUCGGUAGACAAAGACUCAUGGUUCAUUUAGGCUCUCUAUGAUUUUUUUGAGAAAUUAGUACUUUUGUGAGAUAUCCUAGAAAUUUGACUCCGACGGUUGCAAAAAAGUUUGUUCCCUAAGAAAAUCUGUUGUUACUUUUUUACUUUUAUAAUUAGGAAAAUGAUUUUAACAGUCUUCGGUGGACAAAGACUUAAGGUUUAUUUGGUGCCUUCAUGGUUUUUUUGAGAAAUUAAUAGUUUUUGAGAUAUCUUCGAAAUUUGGCCCCGACGGUUGCAAAAAAGUUUGUUGCCUAAGAAAAUAGGUUGUAACUUUUUUGUUGUUAUAGUUAGGAAAAUGAUUUAAACGAUUUUCGGUAGACAAAGACUCAUGGUUCAUUUAGGCUCUCUAUGAUUUUUUUGAGAAAUUAGUACUUUUGUGAGAUAUCCUAGAAAUUUGACUCCGACGGUUGCAAAAAAGUUUGUUCCCUAAGAAAAUCUGUUGUUACUUUUUUACUUUUAUAAUUAGGAAAAUGAUUUUAACAGUCUUCGGUGGACAAAGACUUAAGGUUUAUUUGGUGCCUUCAUGGUUUUUUUGAGAAAUUAAUAGUUUUUGAGAUAUCUUCGAAAUUUGGCCCCGACGGUUGCAAAAAAGUUUGUUGCCUAAGAAAAUAGGUUGUAACUUUUUUGUUGUUAUAGUUAGGAAAAUGAUUUAA
Molecule: long non-coding RNA, 3663 nt
Filed under: Anthonomus grandis grandis
Lineage: Eukaryota; Metazoa; Arthropoda; Insecta; Coleoptera; Curculionidae
Description: uncharacterized LOC126747139
Source: RNAcentral